GUGACCUCAAAUCAGGUAGGACUACCCGCUGAACUUAAGCAUAUCAAUAAGCGGAGGAAAAGAAACUAACAAGGAUUCCCCUAGUAACUGCGAGUGAAGCGGGAAAAGCUCAAAUUUAAAAUCUGUCAGUCUUUGGCUGUCCGAGUUGUAAUCUAGAGAAGCGUUAUCCGCGCUGGACCGUGUACAAGUCUCCUGGAAUGGAGCGUCAUAGAGGGUGAGAAUCCCGUCUUUGACACGGACUGCCAGGGCUUUGUGAUGCGCUCUCAAAGAGUCGAGUUGUUUGGGAAUGCAGCUCAAAAUGGGUGGUAAAUUCCAUCUAAAGCUAAAUAUUGGCGAGAGACCGAUAGCGAACAAGUACCGUGAGGGAAAGAUGAAAAGAACUUUGGAAAGAGAGUUAAACAGUACGUGAAAUUGCUGAAAGGGAAACGCUUGAAGUCAGUCGCGUUGUCCAGGGAUCAACCUUGCUUUUGCUUGGUGUACUUUCUGGUCGACGGGUCAGCAUCAAUUUUGACUGUUGGAAAAAGGUCAGGGGAAUGUGGCAUCUUUAGAUGUGUUAUAGCCCUUGGUUGCAUACAAUGGUUGGGAUUGAGGAACUCAGCACGCCGCAAGGCCGAGUAAUUUUACUACGUACGUGCUUAGGAUGCUGGCAUAAUGGCUUUAAUCGACCCGUC
This 671-nucleotide ribosomal RNA is filed under the name Phlegmacium caerulescens. RNAcentral's name for it is "eukaryotic LSU rRNA". It matches the Rfam family "Eukaryotic large subunit ribosomal RNA", at positions 1 to 653 of the family's 3401-position model. The record is from RNAcentral. Lineage: Eukaryota; Fungi; Basidiomycota; Agaricomycetes; Agaricales; Cortinariaceae.